UGGCGAGCUCCAUGAAAAGAGGCAGAAGGACGAAUCUGAUGAAGCCGAUUUGAGAUGAAGAAGUCAAAAGCAGGCAGGAUGGACUUGAACUUGUUGAGGAUCUCGUUGUGCCUCGUCAUGUCGGUGGCCAGGAUGCACCUGCAGGAGAACCAUGAUCUCUGCGUCCUCCCACUGCCUGAAGAGACAGAAGCAGAACAUGAGCCCAGAGCGCCUACAGAUGAGGAUCUGCUAGAACACGCCGACUAAAGGCUGGAACCUGGACACUGCUGAGCAGAACGUUUAAGACCUUUUCGCCUACUUCGUGUUGUCAGACGGGUUCUACUGCAGCGGUUUCUUGGUCAGGCAGGAACGACGCUGAGUGUUUGGAGAACCACAGCUGACUCUUUGUAUUCAGUGAGAACGGCUCUCAGCUGUAGCAUCAGGAACGUUAGAACGCUUAGAACCUUCACUGGAUAACCUGCAGCCACAGCUUUGACUAUUUUAAACGUGUUGAGUCCGUUUUUGUCGUAUAUCCUGUCGUCUGUAGCGACGCUGACACCAACCAGCCUCCAUGGCCAACAUAUUUACAUGAGCUCUUUAGAACUCGGCCUAAUUAAUACGUGAAUAAAAUAAAAAGCUGAUUUUAGUACUUCAAACGUUUGCUGAAGGCCUUCCUUUGAUGUGCAGCUCCUUCUGAAGGCCCAUUCAUAUUCAGAU
Fundulus heteroclitus (mummichog) is the source of this 696-nucleotide long non-coding RNA. RefSeq lists it as uncharacterized. The transcript is spliced from 3 exons. The record is from RefSeq and is a predicted model, not a curated record. Lineage: Eukaryota; Metazoa; Chordata; Actinopteri; Cyprinodontiformes; Fundulidae.